UACGUAGGGGGCGAGCGUUGUCCGGAAUCAUUGGGCGUAAAGAGCGUGUAGGCGGUUCGGUAAGUCUGCCGUGAAAACCUGGGGCUCAACCCUGGGCGUGCGGUGGAAACUGUCGAGCUAGAGGAUGGUAGAGGGGAGUGGAAUUCCCGGUGUAGCGGUGAAAUGCGUUGAUAUCCAACGGAACUCCGGUGGCGAAGGCGAGGUGCUGGACCCUUUCUGACGCUGAGGCGCGAAAGCCAGGGGAGCGAACGGG
Molecule: ribosomal RNA, 253 nt
Filed under: uncultured bacterium
Lineage: Bacteria
Description: partial 16S ribosomal RNA
Rfam family: Bacterial small subunit ribosomal RNA
Source: RNAcentral